RNAcentral lists this ribosomal RNA (253 nucleotides) under uncultured bacterium. RNAcentral describes it as "partial 16S ribosomal RNA". It matches the Rfam family "Bacterial small subunit ribosomal RNA", at positions 524 to 776 of the family's 1533-position model. The record is from RNAcentral.
UACGUAGGGUGCAAGCGUUAAUCUGAAUUACUGGGCGUAAAGCGUGCGCAGGCGGUUUUGUAAGUCUGUCGUGAAAGCCCCGGGCUCAACCUGGGAAUUGCGAUGGAGACUGCAAGGCUUGAAUCUGGCAGAGGGGGGUAGAAUUCCACGUGUAGCAGUGAAAUGCGUAGAGAUGUGGAGGAACACCGAUGGCGAAGGCAGCCCCCUGGGUCAAGAUUGACGCUCAUGCACGAAAGCGUGGGGAGCAAACAGG